UACGUAGGGCGCAAGCGUUGUCCGGAAUUAUUGGGCGUAAAGAGCUCGUAGGCGGCUUGUCACGUCGGGUGUGGAAGCCCGGGGCUUAACCCCGGGUCUGCAUUCGAUACGGGCUAGCUAGAGUGUGGUAGGGGAGAUCGGAAUUCCUGGUGUAGCGGUGGAAUGCGCAGAUAUCAGGAGGAACACCGGUGGCGAAGGCGGGUCUCUGGGCCGAUACUGACGCUGAGGAGCGAAAGCGUGGGGAGCGAACAGG
This 253-nucleotide ribosomal RNA is filed under the name uncultured bacterium. Its description in RNAcentral is "partial 16S ribosomal RNA". It matches the Rfam family "Bacterial small subunit ribosomal RNA", at positions 524 to 776 of the family's 1533-position model. The record is from RNAcentral.